GAUGAACGCUGGCGGCGUGCCUAACACAUGCAAGUCGAGCGAACGGACGAGAAGCUUGCUUCUUUGUCGUUAGCGGCGCACGGGUGUGUCACAUGUGGAUAACCUACUUAUAUUACUGGGAUAACUUCGGGAAACCGUAGCUAAUACCGGAUAAUCUUUUGAACCGCAUGGUUCAAAAGUGAAAGACGGUCUUGCUGUCUCUUAUAGAUGGUUCCGCGCUGCCUUAGCUAGUUGGUAAGUUCACGGCUUAUCAAGGCUACGAUGCAUAGCCGACCUCUGAGACUGAUCGCCCACACUAGAGCUGAGACACCGUCCAGACUCCUAAGGGAGGCAGCAGUAUCGUAUCGUCCGCAGUAGGCGGAAGCAUGACGGAGCGGCCCCGCGUGAGUGAUAACGGUCUUCGGUGCGUAAUUCCCUGUUACUAGGGAAGAACAUAUUUGUAAGUAAACGUACACUUCUUGACGGUACUGAAUAAAAAAGCCCCGGCUAACUACGUG
Molecule: ribosomal RNA, 497 nt
Filed under: uncultured bacterium
Lineage: Bacteria
Description: partial 16S ribosomal RNA
Rfam family: Bacterial small subunit ribosomal RNA
Source: RNAcentral